GUUAUAAUAGCUUAAUAGGAAAAGCCGAUGCCUGUUAAGCAUCAAGAUCAGGGUUCAAAUCCUUGUUAUAACG
Non-coding RNA from Tieghemiomyces parasiticus, 73 nucleotides. NCBI's taxonomy places the organism in Eukaryota, Fungi, Kickxellomycota, Dimargaritomycetes, Dimargaritales, Dimargaritaceae. The record is from the annotation of a GenBank genome assembly.